ACUGCCACUCUGCGGAAAAAAAGAAGUUUAAUUUCCAAAAUGCGGCUGUAGGCAAACCGGGGAGUCGUGCACGCGAGAUGGUGGCUUUCCUGAGCUCCCCUGGCGUCCGAAACACACUGCGCUGAUUGAGCAUUAGUCCCAGGACAAGGGCAUGUUCGAGUACCAUUUCAAAACCUACACGCUCAGAUAGAAUUUGGAGUGGUAUGAAGUACCUCAUACACUGAAGAACCAGCAUUUUGAAGGACCUGCAGGUGCUACCACAAGGCUCCCCAGAAGGGAAAAUCAGGAUAGCACAUCUUGGCAGAUGGAAGCAUAAAUCUGGCAAGGAAGCGAACACAAGUGAGAAGCAUGUUGAGUCAGUCUCCUCCAAAGAUGCUCAUUGAAAAC
Long non-coding RNA from Myiozetetes cayanensis, 387 nucleotides. RefSeq lists it as uncharacterized. The transcript is spliced from 3 exons. Lineage: Eukaryota; Metazoa; Chordata; Aves; Passeriformes; Tyrannidae. The record is from RefSeq and is a predicted model, not a curated record.